Molecule: non-coding RNA, 45 nt
Filed under: Echinostoma caproni
Lineage: Eukaryota; Metazoa; Platyhelminthes; Trematoda; Plagiorchiida; Echinostomatidae
Source: RNAcentral
GCACUGCUGACGAGUCCUAAAUGGGACGAAACAACUGUCCAGUGC